AAUAAAAUUAAUUUUUAAAAUAAGAUAAUUAUAUUUUAAGCCAAAUUUUCAUAAAAGUGGAGUUCUACAAUGGGAGCGUGGACUAAUCAUGCACAAAACCCGAUCCUUCCAUGAAUGGAGCUCAAUCAUUUCCAAAUAGGAACACGGUCAUUCUUAGAUGGGGGUGCGAUCGUGUUGUUGAUGGGAGCACGAUCCUAAGGAAUAU
This 205-nucleotide long non-coding RNA is filed under the name Amborella trichopoda. RNAcentral describes it as "long non-coding RNA (ATRI_LNC003471)". The record is from RNAcentral. Lineage: Eukaryota; Viridiplantae; Streptophyta; Magnoliopsida; Amborellales; Amborellaceae.